Molecule: ribosomal RNA, 323 nt
Filed under: uncultured Cercozoa
Lineage: Eukaryota; Cercozoa
Also listed under: 1 other name
Description: SSU rRNA
Rfam family: Eukaryotic small subunit ribosomal RNA (bases 105-323)
Source: RNAcentral
GAUUUCUGGCGGACCGGCGUGACCCGCUCUCUUAUGGGAGUGUGUGCUAUGUCGUGUCUGUCAUCCUUGCAGAUAGCGGCGUCUACCAUUGAUUUGGCCUGACGUUUGUGAUCUGCAUCGAUUACUUUGAAAAAAUUAGAGUGUUUAAAGCAGGCUUAUGCCUUGAAUACAUUAGCAUGGAAUAAUAAUUUAGGACUUCGGUUCUAUUUUGUUGGUUUCUAGAACUGAAGUAAUGAUUGAUAGGGAUAGUUGGGGGUGCUAGUAUUCCGCGGCCAGAGGUGAAAUUCUUGGAUUCGCGGAAGACUAACUACUGCGAAAGCAUU